Long non-coding RNA from Saccostrea echinata, 351 nucleotides. RefSeq lists it as uncharacterized. Lineage: Eukaryota; Metazoa; Mollusca; Bivalvia; Ostreida; Ostreidae. The record is from RefSeq and is a predicted model, not a curated record. The transcript is spliced from 3 exons.
GGAGAUCUGAGUCUCGAAUACCCUUCUACAGCAAGGAUUGUUCGCAUCUUCACUAGUAGUACAUUUACAGAUACUAAAUUUGAGAGGAAUAUGUGGAUGGAGAAGGCGUAUCCCCGCUUGAAAAGUUAUUGUCGUUCGCGGGGGUACGAGUUUCAGGUGGUGGAUAUGCGUUGGGGAGUGAGAGAUGAGGCUACAGACGAUCACAGAGGAACUGAACUCUGCCUUCGGGAACUCAAGUUGUGCCAGAAACUAUCUACUGGACCUAAUUUUAUAUCAUUGUUGUCACACAAAUACGGUUAUACCUCACUGCCAAGAGAAAUUAAUGCAGAGGAAUUUGAGAUCAUCGUGAAU